GAUGAACGCUGGCGGCGUGCCUAAUACAUGCAAGUCGGGCGAACGGACGAGAAGCUUGCUUUUCUGAUGUUAGCGGCGGACGGGUGAGUAACACGUGGAUAACCUACCUAUAAGACUGGGAUAACUUCGGGAAACCGGAGCUAAUACCGGAUAAUAUUUUGAACCGCAUGGUUCAAAAGUGAAAGACGGUCUUGCUGUCACUUAUAGAUGGAUCCGCGCUGCAUUAGCUAGUUGGUAAGGUAACGGCUUACCAAGGCAACGAUGCAUAGCCGACCUGAGAGGGUGAUCGGCCACCCUGGAACUGAGACACGGUCCAGACUCCUACGGGAGGCAGCAGUAGGGAAUCUUCCGCAAUGGGCGAAAGCCUGACGGAGCAACGCCGCGUGAGUGAUGAAGGUCUUCGGAUCGUAAAACUCUGUUAUUAGGGAAGAACAUAUGUGUAAGUAACUGUGCACAUCUUGACGGUACCUAAUCAGAAAGCCACGGCUAACUACGUG
Molecule: ribosomal RNA, 497 nt
Filed under: uncultured bacterium
Lineage: Bacteria
Description: partial 16S ribosomal RNA
Rfam family: Bacterial small subunit ribosomal RNA
Source: RNAcentral